Molecule: ribosomal RNA, 509 nt
Filed under: uncultured bacterium
Lineage: Bacteria
Description: bacterial SSU rRNA
Rfam family: Bacterial small subunit ribosomal RNA
Source: RNAcentral
GACGAACGCUGGCGGCAUGCCUAACACAUGCAAGUCGAACGAGACCUUCGGGUCUAGUGGCGCACGGGUGCGUAACGCGUGGGAAUCUGCCCAAAGGUUCGGAAUAACUCGGGGAAACCCGAGCUAAUACCGGAUGACGUCUUCGGACCAAAGAUUUAUCGCCUUUGGAUGAGCCCGCGUCGGAUUAGCUUGUUGGUGAGGUAAAAGCUCACUAAGGCGACGAUCCGUAGCUGGUCUGAGAGGAUGAUCAGCCACACUGGGACUGAGACACGGCCCAGACUCCUACGGGAGGCAGCAGUGGGGAAUAUUGGACAAUGGGCGCAAGCCUGAUCCAGCAAUGCCGCGUGAGUGAUGAAGGCCUUAGGGUUGUAAAGCUCUUUUACCCGGGAUGAUAAUGACAGUACCGGGAGAAUAAGCCCCGGCUAACUCCGUGCCAGCAGCCGCGGUAAUACGGAGGGGGCUAGCGUUGUUCGGAAUUACUGGGCGUAAAGCGCGCGUAGGCGGCGUUU